UUUCCGUAGGUGAACCAGCGGAAGGAUCAUUACCGAGUUAAGGUCUUCCAGGCCCGACCUACCAACCCUCUGUUCAUUUAACCUCUGUUGCUUCCGCUGGCCCGCCUCCCGGCCGCCGGGGGCGUCGCGGCGCCGCACCCGCUGGCCAGCGUCAGCCGAUAGCCAACCUCAAACCGCUCGAUGUAACUUGUCAUAAAAACUAAGUCAAAGUUUAAAUAAAAGAACAACUUUCAACAACAGAUCUCUUGGUUCUAGCAUAUCGGAAGAACACAGCUGCGC
This 279-nucleotide unclassified non-coding RNA is filed under the name plant metagenome. RNAcentral's name for it is "partial contains small subunit ribosomal RNA, internal transcribed spacer 1, and 5.8S ribosomal RNA". The record is from RNAcentral.